GUGGAUGAAACUUGGUGUUAGACUUCAUGAGACAAAGCCCAUUGUUUCAUUUAUUAGGUGCAGGUUCGAUUCCUGCCAUCCACG
This 84-nucleotide transfer RNA is filed under the name Enterococcus canis. The record is from Rfam by way of RNAcentral. Lineage: Bacteria; Bacillati; Bacillota; Bacilli; Lactobacillales; Enterococcaceae.